GUGUACAAGGAGCAGGGACGUAUUCGCCGCGCGCUACUGACACGCGACUACUACCGAAUCCAGCUUCAUGAGGGCGGGUUGCAGCCCUCAAUCCGAACUACGACCGGGUUUAGGGGAUUAGCGUUCCCUCUCGGGAUAGCAUCCCAUUGUCCCGGCCAUUGUAGCCCGCGUGUUGCCCGGCACAUUCGGGGCAUACUGACCUACCGUUGCCCGUUCCUUCCUCCGCUUUAGCAGCGGCAGUCUCCCUAGUGUACCCAACCACCAAUGGCGUUGCUGGCAACUAAGGAUGCGGGUCUCGCUCGUUGCCUGACUUAACAGGACGCCUCACGGUACGAGCUGACGGCGGCCAUGCACCUCCUCUCAACAGCUCGAGUAAGGUCAUCAACCUGACCGUCAUUACUGUUGUCGGUGCCGGUGAGAUGUCCGGCGUUGAGUCCAAUUAAACCGCAGGCUCCUCCGGUUGUAGUGCUCCCCCGCCAAUUCCUUUAAGUUUCAUCCUUGCGGACGUACUUCCCAGGCGGUCUGCUUCACGGCUUCCCUGCGGCACAGCGCAGGCUCGUAGCCUGCGCCACACCUAGCAGACAUUGUUUACGGCCAGGACUACCCGGGUAUCUAAUCCGGUUCGAGACCCUGGCUUUCGUUCCUCACCGUCGGGUCCGUCCUCUCGAGGCGCUUUCGCCACCGGUGGUCCGUCCAGGAUUACGGGAUUUCACUCCUACCCCGGACGUACCCCUCGAGUCCUCCGGCCCCAAGCCAGUCAGUUUCCGCUGGACGCCCACGCGUUGAGCGCGUGGAUUUCCCAACAGACUUGACUGGCCGGCUACGAACGCUUUAGGCCCAAUAAUAUCGGCCAUCACUCGGGCUGCCGGUAUUACCGCGGCGGCUGGCACCGGUCUUGCCCAGCCCUUAUUCUUGCAUCUCCUUACGAUCCAGAAAAGCGAGGACUGUAUGCCCUCGCACUCGGAAUCCCCCUAUCGCACUGUCGUGCAGUGUAAAGGUUUCGCGCCUGCUGCGCCCCGUAGGGCCCGGUAUCUUGUCUCAGAUACCGUCUCCGGGCUCUGACUCUCAUCACCCGUACCGAUUACUGGCACGGUGGGCCGUUACCCCACCGUCUACCUAAUCGGCCGCAGCCACAUCCUGUGGUGCCGCAGCGCAACCUUUCGGACUUCCUCCACUCCAGGAUGGAAGCCCUAUCGGGGAUUAGCCUCAGUUUCCCGAGAUUAUCCCCGUCCACAGGGUAGUUUGGCCACGUGUUACUGAGCUGUUCGCCACGGGUCUAACCCGUGCGACUAGCAUGGCUAAAUCGGAUUCCGAUAGCAAUGGCCUCCGGCAGGAUCAACCGGAAAGUGUACAAGGAGCAGGGACGUAUUCGCCGCGCGCUACUGACACGCGACUACUACCGAAUCCAGCUUCAUGAGGGCGGGUUGCAGCCCUCAAUCCGAACUACGACCGGGUUUAGGGGAUUAGCGUUCCCUCUCGGGAUAGCAUCCCAUUGUCCCGGCCAUUGUAGCCCGCGUGUUGCCCGGCACAUUCGGGGCAUACUGACCUACCGUUGCCCGUUCCUUCCUCCGCUUUAGCAGCGGCAGUCUCCCUAGUGUACCCAACCACCAAUGGCGUUGCUGGCAACUAAGGAUGCGGGUCUCGCUCGUUGCCUGACUUAACAGGACGCCUCACGGUACGAGCUGACGGCGGCCAUGCACCUCCUCUCAACAGCUCGAGUAAGGUCAUCAACCUGACCGUCAUUACUGUUGUCGGUGCCGGUGAGAUGUCCGGCGUUGAGUCCAAUUAAACCGCAGGCUCCUCCGGUUGUAGUGCUCCCCCGCCAAUUCCUUUAAGUUUCAUCCUUGCGGACGUACUUCCCAGGCGGUCUGCUUCACGGCUUCCCUGCGGCACAGCGCAGGCUCGUAGCCUGCGCCACACCUAGCAGACAUUGUUUACGGCCAGGACUACCCGGGUAUCUAAUCCGGUUCGAGACCCUGGCUUUCGUUCCUCACCGUCGGGUCCGUCCUCUCGAGGCGCUUUCGCCACCGGUGGUCCGUCCAGGAUUACGGGAUUUCACUCCUACCCCGGACGUACCCCUCGAGUCCUCCGGCCCCAAGCCAGUCAGUUUCCGCUGGACGCCCACGCGUUGAGCGCGUGGAUUUCCCAACAGACUUGACUGGCCGGCUACGAACGCUUUAGGCCCAAUAAUAUCGGCCAUCACUCGGGCUGCCGGUAUUACCGCGGCGGCUGGCACCGGUCUUGCCCAGCCCUUAUUCUUGCAUCUCCUUACGAUCCAGAAAAGCGAGGACUGUAUGCCCUCGCACUCGGAAUCCCCCUAUCGCACUGUCGUGCAGUGUAAAGGUUUCGCGCCUGCUGCGCCCCGUAGGGCCCGGUAUCUUGUCUCAGAUACCGUCUCCGGGCUCUGACUCUCAUCACCCGUACCGAUUACUGGCACGGUGGGCCGUUACCCCACCGUCUACCUAAUCGGCCGCAGCCACAUCCUGUGGUGCCGCAGCGCAACCUUUCGGACUUCCUCCACUCCAGGAUGGAAGCCCUAUCGGGGAUUAGCCUCAGUUUCCCGAGAUUAUCCCCGUCCACAGGGUAGUUUGGCCACGUGUUACUGAGCUGUUCGCCACGGGUCUAACCCGUGCGACUAGCAUGGCUAAAUCGGAUUCCGAUAGCAAUGGCCUCCGGCAGGAUCAACCGGAAA
RNAcentral lists this ribosomal RNA (2692 nucleotides) under uncultured haloarchaeon MSP23. Its description in RNAcentral is "partial 16S ribosomal RNA". Lineage: Archaea; Methanobacteriati; Methanobacteriota. The record is from RNAcentral.